UACGUAGGGGGCUAGCGUUAUCCGGAAUUACUGGGCGUAAAGGGUGCGUAGGCGGUCUUUCAAGCCAGAAGUGAAAGGCUACGGCUCAACCGUAGUAAGCUUUUGGAACUGUAAGACUUGAGUGCAGGAGAGGAGAGUGGAAUUCCUAGUGUAGCGGUGAAAUGCGUAGAUAUUAGGAGGAACACCAGUAGCGAAGGCGGCUCUCUGGACUGUAACUGACGCUGAGGCACGAAAGCGUGGGGAGCAAACAGGAUUAGAUACCCUGGUAGUCCACGCCGUAAACGAUGAGUACUAGGUGUCGGGGGUUACCCCCCUCGGUGCCGCAGCUAACGCAUUAAGUACUCCGCCUGGGAAGUACGCUCGCAAGAGUGAA
Molecule: ribosomal RNA, 373 nt
Filed under: uncultured bacterium
Lineage: Bacteria
Description: bacterial SSU rRNA
Rfam family: Bacterial small subunit ribosomal RNA
Source: RNAcentral